Molecule: ribosomal RNA, 265 nt
Filed under: uncultured prokaryote
Description: partial 16S ribosomal RNA
Rfam family: Bacterial small subunit ribosomal RNA
Source: RNAcentral
UACGUAUGUCACGAGCGUUAUCCGGAUUUAUUGGGCGUAAAGCGCGUCUAGGUGGUUAUAUAAGUCUGAUGUGAAAAUGCAGGGCUCAACUCUGUAUUGCGUUGGAAACUGUAUAACUAGAGUACUGGAGAGGUAAGCGGAACUACAAGUGUAGGGGUGAAAUUCGUAGAUAUUUGUAGGAAUGCCGAUGGGGAAGCCAGCUUACUGGACAGAUACUGACACUGAAGCGCGAAAGCGUGGGUAGCAAACAGGAUUAGAUACCCCU